Molecule: small nuclear RNA, 107 nt
Organism: Balaenoptera acutorostrata (minke whale)
Lineage: Eukaryota; Metazoa; Chordata; Mammalia; Artiodactyla; Balaenopteridae
Source: RefSeq, a predicted model, not a curated record
GUGCUCGCUUUGGCAGCACAUAGACUAAAAUUGGAACGAUACAGAGAAGAGUAGCAGGGCCCCUGCACAAGGAUGACACGCAAAUUUGUGACACGUUCCAUAUUUUU